UUUUUUUUGAUAAACUCUUUCGGCUGAUUCGGUUAGUCCCGGUAAAAAGCACCGAAAUACUUUAGAGUGGAUUUCUCUCCAAAGAACCACCACAUUGUCUGUCCCGAAUUUGGAAUGUUUUCCGACUAAUGCCAAGAAACCACCUUCAUUUCUAACUACCAGAUAAACCAAUUGGAACAAAAUCCAACUGACAGACUUCCCAAACAAAUGUGAUUUUUGUUUCCAAGGAAGAUCGAACUCAGGUCUGGAAGUUGCACCUUUCUCUAAAACUUCCCCAACCACUAGACAACAAAUGCUUGGAUGCGAUCAUACCAACACUAUUAUUCUCUUUCCCA
This 335-nucleotide small RNA is filed under the name Arabidopsis thaliana (thale cress). Its description in RNAcentral is "ATSL180440". Lineage: Eukaryota; Viridiplantae; Streptophyta; Magnoliopsida; Brassicales; Brassicaceae. The record is from RNAcentral.